GAUGAACGCUAGCGGUGUGCCUAAUGCAUGCAAGUCGAACGGUAGCUCUUGGAUUCGUCUGGGAGUGAGAGUGGCGGACGGGUGAGUAACGCGUUGGUGACCUGCCUCAGAGAGGGGGACAACCAUUGGAAACGAUGGCUAAUACCCCGGAUGUCAUACUAUUUGGAAAGGUAUGACUAAAGCGACGGAUUUAUCCAUCGUGCUCUGAGAGGGGCCAGCGUCCCAUCAGCUAGUUGGUAAGGUAAUGGCUUACCAAGGCAGAGACGGGUAGGGGGCGUGAGAGCGUGACCCCCCACACUGGUACUGAGACACGGACCAGAUACCUGCGGGUAGCAGCAGCAAGGAAUAUUGCGCAA
Molecule: ribosomal RNA, 356 nt
Filed under: uncultured bacterium
Lineage: Bacteria
Description: bacterial SSU rRNA
Rfam family: Bacterial small subunit ribosomal RNA
Source: RNAcentral